CGACGCAACCCUCGACCUUAGUUGCCAGCAUUCAGUUGGGCACUCUAAGGUGACUGCCGGCUAAAAGUCGGAGGAAGGUGGGGAUGACGUCAAAUCAUCAUGCCCCUUAUGACCUGGGCUACACACGUGCUACAAUGGGCGGUACAAAGGGUCGCGAACCCGCGAGGGGGAGCCAAUCCCAAAAAGCCGCUCUCAGUUCGGAUUGCAGGCUGCAACUCGCCUGCAUGAAGCCGGAAUCGCUAGUAAUCGCGGAUCAGCAUGCCGCGGUGAAUACGUUCCCGGGCCUU
This 287-nucleotide ribosomal RNA is filed under the name uncultured Anoxybacillus sp. Its description in RNAcentral is "partial 16S ribosomal RNA". It matches the Rfam family "Bacterial small subunit ribosomal RNA", at positions 1094 to 1382 of the family's 1533-position model. Lineage: Bacteria; Bacillati; Bacillota; Bacilli; Caryophanales; Anoxybacillaceae. The record is from RNAcentral.